Molecule: microRNA precursor, 103 nt
Filed under: Marmota monax (woodchuck)
Lineage: Eukaryota; Metazoa; Chordata; Mammalia; Rodentia; Sciuridae
Source: RNAcentral
AGUGAACUAGCUGGGUCAUAUGGUGGUUCCAUUUCCAGCUUUUUGAGGAAUCUCCACACUGCUUUCCAGAAUAGCUAUAUUAAUUUGUAGUCCCAUCAGCAAU